GAUGAACGCUGGCGGCGUGCCUAAUACAUGCAAGUCGAGCGAACGGACGAGAAGCUUGCUUCUCUGAUGUUAGCGGCGGACGGGUGAGUAACACGUGGAUAACCUACCUAUAAGACUGGGAUAACUUCGGGAAACCGGAGCUAAUACCGGAUAAUAUUUUGAACCGCAUGGUUCAAAAGUGAAAGACGGUUUUGCUGUCACUUAUAGAUGGAUCCGCGCUGCAUUAGCUAGUUGGUAAGGUAACGGCUUACCAAGGCAACGAUGCAUAGCCGACCUGAGAGGGUGAUCGGCCACACUGGAACCGGGACACCGGCCAGACUCCCACGGGAGGCCGCAGGAGGGAAUCUUCCGCAAUGGGCGAAAGCCCGACGGAGGAACGCCGCGUGAGUGAAGAAGGUUUUUGGAUCGUAAAACUCUGUUAUUAGGGAAGAAAAAAUGUGUAAGUAACUAUGCACGUUUUGACGGUACCUAAUCAGAAAGCCCCGGCUAACUACGUG
This 497-nucleotide ribosomal RNA is filed under the name uncultured bacterium. RNAcentral's name for it is "partial 16S ribosomal RNA". It matches the Rfam family "Bacterial small subunit ribosomal RNA", at positions 28 to 507 of the family's 1533-position model. The record is from RNAcentral.